This 529-nucleotide ribosomal RNA is filed under the name Neofusicoccum parvum. RNAcentral describes it as "eukaryotic LSU rRNA". The stretch from base 158 to 311 matches the Rfam family "5.8S ribosomal RNA". Lineage: Eukaryota; Fungi; Ascomycota; Dothideomycetes; Botryosphaeriales; Botryosphaeriaceae. The record is from RNAcentral.
CUCGACUCUCCCACCCAAUGUGUACCUACCUCUGUUGCUUUGGCGGGCCGCGGUCCUCCGCACCGGCGCCCUUCGGGGGGCUGGCCAGCGCCCGCCAGAGGACCAUAAAACUCCAGUCAGUGAACUUCGCAGUCUGAAAAACAAGUUAAUAAACUAAAACUUUCAACAACGGAUCUCUUGGUUCUGGCAUCGAUGAAGAACGCAGCGAAAUGCGAUAAGUAAUGUGAAUUGCAGAAUUCAGUGAAUCAUCGAAUCUUUGAACGCACAUUGCGCCCCUUGGUAUUCCGAGGGGCAUGCCUGUUCGAGCGUCAUUUCAACCCUCAAGCUCUGCUUGGUGUUGGGCCCCGUCCUCCACGGACGCGCCUUAAAGACCUCGGCGGUGGCGUCUUGCCUCAAGCGUAGUAGAAAACACCUCGCUUUGGAGCGCACGGCGUCGCCCGCCGGACGAACCUUUGAAUUAUUUCUCAAGGUUGACCUCGGAUCAGGUAGGGAUACCCGCUGAACUUAAGCAUAUCAAUAAGCGGAGGAA